CUACGGGAGGCAGCAGUAGGGAAUAUUGGACAAUGGGCGCAAGCCUGAUCCAGCAAUGCCGCGUGUGUGAAGAAGGCCUGCGGGUUGUAGAGCACUUUCAGUAGAGAAGAAAAGCUUACGGUUAAUACCUGUGAGUCUUGACGUAACCUACAGAAGAAGCACCGGCUAACUCCGUGCCAGCAGCCGCGGUAAUACGGAGGGUGCAAGCGUUAAUCGGAAUUACUGGGCGUAAAGCGCGCGUAGGCGGCUCUGUAAGUCGGAUGUGAAAGCCCUGGGCUUAACCUGGGAAUUGCAUUCGAUACUGGGUAGCUAGAGUUUGGUAGAGGCAAGUGGAAUUCCAGGUGUAGCGGUGAAAUGCGUAGAUAUCUGGAGGAACAUCAGUGGCGAAGGCGACUUGCUGGAUCAAUACUGACGCUGAGGUGCGAAAGCGUGGGUAGCAAACAGGAUUAGAUACCCUGGUAGUCCACGCUGUAAACGAUGUCAACUAGCCGUUGGGACCA
RNAcentral lists this ribosomal RNA (500 nucleotides) under uncultured Gammaproteobacteria bacterium. RNAcentral's name for it is "bacterial SSU rRNA". It matches the Rfam family "Bacterial small subunit ribosomal RNA", at positions 339 to 831 of the family's 1533-position model. Lineage: Bacteria; Pseudomonadati; Pseudomonadota; Gammaproteobacteria. The record is from RNAcentral.